UACAGAGGUCUCAAGCGUUGUUCGGAUUCAUUGGGCGUAAAGGGUGCGUAGGCGGCGCGGUAAGUCGGGUGUGAAAUCUCGGAGCUUAACUCCGAAACUGCAUUCGAUACUGCCGAGCUUGAGGACUGGAGAGGAGACUGGAAUUUACGGUGUAGCGGUGAAAUGCGUAGAUAUCGUAAGGAAGACCAGUGGCGAAGGCGGGUCUCUGGACAGUUCCUGACGCUGAGGCACGAAGGUCAGGGGAGCAAACGGG
Molecule: ribosomal RNA, 253 nt
Filed under: uncultured bacterium
Lineage: Bacteria
Description: partial 16S ribosomal RNA
Rfam family: Bacterial small subunit ribosomal RNA
Source: RNAcentral